UAAGGAAUAUUGGUCAAUGGACGAAAGUCUGAACCAGCCAUGCCGCGUGGAGGAUGAAGGUCCUCUGGAUCGUAAACUUCUUUUAUAUGGGACGAAAAAAGGGUUUUCUAACUCGACUGACGGUACCAUAUGAAUAAGCACCGGCUAACUCCGUGCCAGCAGCCGCGGUAAUACGGAGGGUGCAAGCGCUAUCCGGAUUCACUGGGUUUAAAGGGUGCGUAGGUGGGCUGGAAAGUCAGUGGUGAAAUCCCCGAGCUUAACUCGGGAACUGCCGUUGAUACUAUCAGUCUUGAAUAUCGUGGAGGCUAGCGGAAUAUGUCAUGUAGCGGUGAAAUGCUUAGAUAUGACAUAGAACACCAAUUGCGAAGGCAGCUGGCUACACGAAUAUUGACACUGAGGCACGAAAGCGUGGGGAUCAAACAGGAUUAGAUACCCUGGUAGUCCACGCCCUAAACUAUGGAUACUCGACAUACGCGAUACACUGUGUGUGUCUGAGCGAAAGCAUUAAGUAUCCCACCUGGGAAGUACGAUCGCAAGAAUG
Molecule: ribosomal RNA, 541 nt
Filed under: uncultured bacterium
Lineage: Bacteria
Description: bacterial SSU rRNA
Rfam family: Bacterial small subunit ribosomal RNA
Source: RNAcentral